CCUUUGAAAUUGCUAAUUUCUAGUCUUAAAACUAAAUAGCAAAGAGAGAUAACUGUUAUUGAAUAUGACAACUGAUACCUACAAAUAAAUGUCGAGGCAGAGAGGAGGGGUUCCUAAUUAAUUCCCCUGCUCCUCAUGCCCAAUACACCAGGGAUGGCACUGCUUUCCAGAGAUUCCAGAACUUGUCCUGAGAUUCCAGAACUUGUCCUGAAAGGAUUAGGGCCUCGACUCAUUACUUAGAUGUUGCUUGGGUUGGUAGCGUUACCUUGUCCUCAUACCAAGAUUUCUUUCUGGCUCUGCCUUCGUUCUGUGAUAUCUACAAAGGAAGCCAACCCAGGGAAAAGUGCCCUUGGAAAGAAUACGGAUCAGUAGAUUUGAAGGAGUAGCCCUCCCCAUGCCCCAAUUAGAAAACUGAUCAGAACAAUUGCUUAAGAAGUCCACUUAUUAAAGGACUGAAAAAUAUGAAUCAUGAUCAGGGGAUUUAUCAGAAAUAUUAAAAGAAGACAUAUGGGACCGAUUUCCAAAAUAGGAAAGCAUUAUUUCCCUGGAAAUAAUCCAGGGAAAACAUACAACUGGGAAUUUCAACAUUAUGCAAGAAAAUGGAGCAAAUCUUACGAGAGAAAGGCUCGACUCACAAGGAGGAUACAUAAUGUACAGCCGAAUCUGCAAGCUCCUAUUUUGUCAGCUGCUUGUGUUGAUUAAAACUUCAAUAAAGAUCCUG
Molecule: long non-coding RNA, 721 nt
Filed under: Vulpes vulpes (red fox)
Lineage: Eukaryota; Metazoa; Chordata; Mammalia; Carnivora; Canidae
Description: lncRNA (ENSVVUG00000000042.1)
Source: RNAcentral